Molecule: long non-coding RNA, 253 nt
Filed under: Lathyrus oleraceus (garden pea)
Lineage: Eukaryota; Viridiplantae; Streptophyta; Magnoliopsida; Fabales; Fabaceae
Description: Pisum sativum (pea) long non-coding RNA (PSAT_LNC007180)
Source: RNAcentral
AUCAAUAAUGAUAUUUACUGUAUGCUUCUUACAUAGCCUAUUAGAAAAAAAAAACAUAUUUACACUAUGGUGUAAUAGAGUAGCAUGCAUGGUAUUUCUAAAAUAUAUCAAUAGCAAAAUAAAAUAAACAUAAACAAAACAAAAUAAAAACAAUAAAAUAAAAUAAAACAAUAAUAAUGAAGCACCCACGUAAGUGACCGUUGCAAGCUGACUGGUGUGACGAGCGUCACACAAGCCAUCACGGUCGUCACGC